This 397-nucleotide ribosomal RNA is filed under the name uncultured bacterium. RNAcentral's name for it is "bacterial SSU rRNA". It matches the Rfam family "Bacterial small subunit ribosomal RNA", at positions 358 to 772 of the family's 1533-position model. The record is from RNAcentral.
GGAAUAUUGGACAAUGGGCGCAAGCCUGAUCCAGCCAUGCCGCGUGAGUGAUGAAGGCCCUAGGGGUGUAAAGCUCUUUCACCGGUGAAGAUAAUGACGGUAACCGGAGAAGAAGGCCCGGCUAACUUCGUUCCAGCAGCCGCGGUAAUACGAAGGGGGCUAGCGUUGUUCGGAAGUACGGGGCGUAAAGCGCACUGAGGCGGAUCGUUAAGUGAGGGGUGAAAUCCCAGGGCUCAACCCUGGAACUGCCUUUCAUACUGGCGAUCUUGAGUUCGAGAGAGGUGAGUGGAAUUCCGAGUGUAGAGGUGAAAUUCGUAGAUAUUCGGAGGAACACCAGUGGCGAAGGCGGCUCACUGGCUCGAUACUGACGCUGAGGUGCGAAAGCGUGGGGAGCAAA